UUAGUAUUCAAUUAUAAGCAAUGAAAGAAUGUGAGGGGGUUAAGAAUAAUCAAGGGAGGGGUCCUAUUAAUAUAGUGGGUGAGACGUGAUUUAGAAGGGAAAAAAAAUAUGUUUUGAGGAAUCAAUUAAAUCACAAUUUUCUUAUUUCAAAGGAACGCCAAAAUUAGAGUUAUUUUUAAAUUUUUUACCUAAUAUGAAAACAUUGUAAUAGAUCCAUCAAUUUUAAUUAAGGAAACAGGGACAAUUACUAGCCUUUGGAAACUUAGCUACUUAAGUCCUUCUCAUUUUUUUUAAAAUUUAAGAGAGCCAAACAAGAAAUAAUUAUUUUUUUACCAAUUAUAAUAAAAAA
Molecule: unclassified non-coding RNA, 349 nt
Filed under: Hevea brasiliensis (rubber tree)
Lineage: Eukaryota; Viridiplantae; Streptophyta; Magnoliopsida; Malpighiales; Euphorbiaceae
Source: RNAcentral